Molecule: transfer RNA, 71 nt
Filed under: Camelus bactrianus (Bactrian camel)
Lineage: Eukaryota; Metazoa; Chordata; Mammalia; Artiodactyla; Camelidae
Also listed under: 2 other names
Rfam family: tRNA
About the family: Transfer RNA (tRNA) molecules are approximately 80 nucleotides in length. Their secondary structure includes four short double-helical elements and three loops (D, anti-codon, and T loops). Further hydrogen bonds mediate the characteristic L-shaped molecular structure. tRNAs have two regions of fundamental functional importance: the anti-codon, which is responsible for specific mRNA codon recognition, and the 3' end, to which the tRNAs corresponding amino acid is attached (by aminoacyl-tRNA synthetases). tRNAs cope with the degeneracy of the genetic code in two manners: having more than one tRNA (with a specific anti-codon) for a particular amino acid; and 'wobble' base-pairing, i.e. permitting non-standard base-pairing at the 3rd anti-codon position.
Source: Rfam by way of RNAcentral
GAGAGUAUAGCUCAGUGGUAGAGCACAUGCUUAGCAUACACAAGGUCCUGGGUUCAAUCCCCAGUAUCUCC